UACGUAGGUGGCUAGCGUUGUCCGGAUUUACUGGGCGUAAAGAGCGCGCAGGCGGUCGUUCAAGUCGAGUGUGAAAGCCCCCGGCUCAACUGGGGAGGGUCACUCGAUACUGAUCGACUCGAAGGCAGGAGAGGGAAGCGGAAUUCCCGGUGUAGUGGUGAAAUGCGUAGAUAUUGGGAAGAACACCGGUGGCGAAGGCGGCUCUCUGGACCGAUACUGACGCUGAGGCGCGAAAGCGUGGGGAGCAAACAGG
RNAcentral lists this ribosomal RNA (253 nucleotides) under uncultured bacterium. Its description in RNAcentral is "partial 16S ribosomal RNA". It matches the Rfam family "Bacterial small subunit ribosomal RNA", at positions 524 to 776 of the family's 1533-position model. The record is from RNAcentral.